Drosophila biarmipes is the source of this 2758-nucleotide long non-coding RNA. RefSeq lists it as uncharacterized. The transcript is spliced from 3 exons. The record is from RefSeq and is a predicted model, not a curated record. NCBI's taxonomy places the organism in Eukaryota, Metazoa, Arthropoda, Insecta, Diptera, Drosophilidae.
UUACUAGUGUUUUUUUUUAAGCCACCAGCGAUUCUUCACCUAAAAAAUUUGUGCUCCCAAGCACAAGACCAUGGUUUGUUUACAAAGUGCCAUCCUAAGUAGGCCACAUAUUGUGAACAGGACGUUACUUCCUGCUAUUUGGAUAUUUUUGGAAUAUGUAACAAAACAAAUGUCACUUUUCUUAUAAAACAAAAAGCCUUACAUUCAUCCUUAGUAAGACAGAAAAUCACAAACAUUCAAAAAUAUUCGAUUAGGUCAAAUAGGUUCAAGCUAGCUUAUCAAGUAUAUGUUGUAAUAUGCCAGCCAAAAUGGAUUUCGGCAGUUGUAGCUAUUUCCUCUCUCGAAAGGUGCCACCCCUAUCUUAUGGCGGCCGUGAUACUACGAGUGUAUGAGAAAAUUGGGGCCUGGGAAGCGGCCAAAGAAGAAGCAGCCGCUUAGGGCGAUAUGCAGCACCUUGGUAAGUGUGAGCAAAUAAUGGAGAACAAGGCAAAUUCAACGUAAAGGCAGCUGCAGAUAGCGCGGACCGAGCUGGACGUGCAAAAACAGGGGCCCUGAUCAAGUUCGCAAGUUCCCGGGAAGUGGGCGGAAGGCACUCGUUCCGCCUGCCCUUCAAGCGAGUCCGAAAAGCCCUGCAAACACAAACAAACGCCAGCGGAAAAGCGGGGAGAGGCAAAGCCAAACGAAAAGGCAGAAAAGACAGGCGCAACAAUCGUCACGUAGCCCAGCACUCACACCGAGGCACAGUGGGCACACGCACAUGCGAGCGAACCCACACAGCGCCGAGGAGCCACACGCACGGGCCUCAGCGCGAUAGCCCAGUGAGUCAGAAAGAGACAAUCGCCGGCGAAGGGAGAGCGAGGGGGGCAGAAUUAGAUAUCUAAAUUGUUUGAUACAAAUGUCUGCUGAAAUGCUUUGAAAAUAAACCGAGGAUGAGCUGCGAACGGCGGAACACGCGGAAGCAAUGCGAAUGUACGGCCCACAGAAUUGGGUCAACGGCCCAGUUCAAAGUCGGAGCCAAGCGGAGCACACUCAGAGAUACAGUGGUGCGAAACAACAUGGUGCAAACAUGUUGCUGUGUACAUUGUAAUGAUCGAUGGGAGCCCUUCGUCUGUGAUGUAUUACGUGCGGCCGCGGCGACUGCGGCAUGUGUACCACGCGAAGCCCCCGGCCCUUUGGUGGGUGGAAAACCAGCGGGUACAGGGGCGCGGCAGACGCACACGCACUGCGGGCAGACGACCUUGAUGACGUGCGUCUGCCUACGUAGUUCGCUUGGGCUCUUUUAGGUUCGAGAUCUAUCGCUGCGUACUGCCACAGGUUCAUGAAUUAACAGAGGUCAUGAGUGCGGCUCGGAUAGAAUGGCUCGAAAAAAUGUAACUUAAUAGAUUACACUUCAUACUCAAAAAUAUCUCAAAUGUGCCUUCAGCAACCAUCUACAAGGAUCGCCCGGAAAAUGGCUAUUGACCCUUCCUAUCAAAUAUGUGACAUUGACAGUCGGCGGCGGAUGAAUGCGGUUUUGGGCGGUCGUUGUUUAUCGAGUUUGCGCAACCGUGUUGUUUACUUUCCUGGGGAGUUGCCUGGCAGGCACACCAGCAAAUCUAGCCCAUUUAUAAACAAUGCCGGGAUUUGGCAAACCACUGAAAAAGAGAUCACGCUGGCCUGACUUCUAAGUGUUUGAUAAAGAACAACACAUCCCGCGGCAGAUUGAUAUCUCGGAGCCAAAGCAAAUGGUAAUUCCGAUAGCGCGAUUCAAACGAUUGCUUGCGUAUCCUCGGCACGUAGGCAAAACGGCGCGGACCACCCUGCUGAACAGACCACCCAAUCCGCGCGAUAAGAAGCUCCAAAAAAGGGGCGGCGUGUACUGCACUCGUUGACAAAAGGUUUUGCAAUAGGUUGGCUAAGCGAAAGGAACAACCAGUGUUUAAAUACACUUGGAAUAUGACAAAUGAACGAAUGGUAAAUUAAACUAACCUCUUUUGUGGGUUUGUACAGAAAAGUAUUGCAAACGUAGAACAGAUACUAAGAGGGGUAGGGAAUGCGUAUUGACUGUAAGCCAUAAUUUUAUUUAACCGAGUUUUACUGAUGACUCAGCCCAAUUCACUGGAAGUUAUGCCCAACGAUUGCGAAAGAAUUCUAUAUUUGUUCCAGUGUGUGCGGUGCAUGUUUGUUGUAUCUGUUAAUGCCGGGGUGUAAGUCAAAAAUAAAUAAAUAAGCGAGUAUCAAAGAUUCGGACGCAACGAACUGCGCAACAGAAUAACUACAAGUCAGCACCUCUGUCCGGAAAACUGCGACUGCGAGUGUGACUGCAGGUGCUAUCAGAUCGGCUACGGUCGCGUUCGCCAUAUGCAUUGCACCGCCGGGCACGUAAUGCCAAAGGUAAAUACUCGACUUGGGAGGUGUCAUCUCGCGCCAGAGUGUGAACAAUACGGAGAUAAUCAAACGCGAAUUCGUUGCGCAGUCCUGAAAUCACACCUGAAGCCUUAAAGAAGAGAAAAUCAGAACCAAAAACUCUAUUUUUAACCAGCAAAUUCUUUAAGUCACCAAAACGCCCACCUGGAGAACAUUCGGCCCAAGUGUGGUACAGGUAAAAAAUAUAAAGCCCAUCACUUUUGACUUAAACUAAAUUAUGUAAAAGUAAAAGAAACCUUAAAAUGAAAGACAUUAAAUAUCUCUAUUGUGAGAGCAACAGAAAUUGCCAACGCGAUUUCAUUUGGAAUUAAUAGAUCAAUAAAAUAAAUUUCCACUCACUGAAAAUCCUAAA